AUGGAGGGAGCUCCCGUGACCGCAGCCACGGGGGCCUUGGGGCCCGUCGUAGCCAAGCUGGGUGCUCUGCUGGGCGGCGACUACAAACUUCGGCACCGGACUCGCAAGGACGUCAAGUUCAUCAAAUCCAAGCUCAAGUCUGUGCACUCCAUCCUUUGGGCGGUAUGGGAGAAGGAGAUUCUUGAUGCGGAAUCCAAGGUCCUGAAGAAGGAAGCGCUGGAUCUCGCCGAUGAUAUACAAGACGCCAUCGACGACUUCAUCCUCACCAUGGAGCCCAGCCGCAGAAAUAAGCACCUGAUGGUACAGAUCAAGAUCAAAGCAAGCCCCUUCCAAGAUUUCAGGAGAACAGUAGACGAGGUGUCAGGCCAGUGCCGCAGAAAGUGGAAGUGGGAGAAGAACAAGUCUGCUCAACCCAUCUCCAGCUUAUUCUCAAGAAAGAACGCCACAUACAGAGCCCCCAGCAAACAGCCUCCUCCUCGAGCUCCAUUUGUCCGCAAGGAUGCGUCAGAGAUCAUUGGUAUGGACGGAUGGAGGGAUGACCUCAUCAAAUACCUGCUAGGAGUAGACGAGAUCAGAAUGGUGCAGCCUCAUCUCAAAAUGGCAUCCAUUGUUGGGAUGGCCGGUGUGGGGAAAACAACCCUUGCCAGCCUUGUGUAUGAGCAUGAGGACAUUCAAAAUCAUUUCGAGUCCCGGGCUUUUGUGUCCGUCACUCCAGCUCCUAAUAUGAAGGAGGUUCUCACAAGUAUCCUCCACCAACUAGGAGCUGAACCACUUGCUGGCGCCCAAGCAAGGACAGAGGAAGAUAUAAUCCACGCCAUAUCAAAUUUCCUAGAGGACAAAAGACAUGUGUAUUGCGGGCUAAGAGAUAUGUCCCUUUUGAGAAGUUGGAAUGUGUGCGGGUGUUGGAUCUUCAAUAUCACCACCAUCAGCUUGAAUUCAAAAAGCCUGGUUGGAAAUAUUUUGAAUUCGAGGCCCUUGGAAAUCAACAUGUGA
RNAcentral lists this ribosomal RNA (993 nucleotides) under Triticum aestivum (bread wheat). Its description in RNAcentral is "partial small subunit ribosomal RNA". The record is from RNAcentral. Lineage: Eukaryota; Viridiplantae; Streptophyta; Magnoliopsida; Poales; Poaceae.